AGGGGGAUGACACUUGGAAACAGGUGCUAAUACCGCAUAACAGUUUAUGCCGCAUGGCAUAAGAGUGAAAGGCGCUUUCGGGUGUCGCUGAUGGAUGGACCCGCGGUGCAUUAGCUAGUUGGUGAGGUAACGGCUCACCAAGGCCACGAUGCAUAGCCGACCUGAGAGGGUGAUCGGCCACACUGGGACUGAGACACGGCCCAG
Molecule: ribosomal RNA, 204 nt
Filed under: uncultured bacterium
Lineage: Bacteria
Description: partial 16S ribosomal RNA
Rfam family: Bacterial small subunit ribosomal RNA
Source: RNAcentral